Molecule: transfer RNA, 58 nt
Filed under: Toxocara cati (cat roundworm)
Lineage: Eukaryota; Metazoa; Nematoda; Chromadorea; Rhabditida; Toxocaridae
Description: transfer RNA-Ala
Source: RNAcentral
GGGGUUAUAUUUUAAAAUUAAAAUAUGUGCUUUGCAUGCACAAGAUUGUGGGGCUCUA